Long non-coding RNA from Sardina pilchardus (European sardine), 983 nucleotides. RefSeq lists it as uncharacterized. The transcript is spliced from 2 exons. The record is from RefSeq and is a predicted model, not a curated record. Lineage: Eukaryota; Metazoa; Chordata; Actinopteri; Clupeiformes; Clupeidae.
UGAAAUUGCAAUCUUGCAAUGUCUUAUUCCAUUUGAUAGCCUACUAAAACCUAUAUUUCACAUGAACACAAAUGCUGAAGUCGGAUUAUUCUAUUGUCAUUAACGUAGUAUCAUCAACUUUGAAAUUGUUACUGUUAAUUAGCUUAUAGCCCACUGUAUCGUUGUUAUUUGUAUGGGCGUCUGCUAAAUACCGUAACCAUAACGUAAUUAGGCUAUUAUGCUAUCCCUAUCUUUUACUGUCUGUGGCUAAACCCAGUAGUUAACUUCCUAAUUUCUGUAUCUGUCCCUUAUUAACACCUACAUCGUAAAUCCUCAUAUUAUACAUACUUUAUUUAUAGCUGAGCCUCGGAUAAUAGCCGUGGUCGUUUUGAACAAAGCCUGCCCCAAAUAAAGGUCUGUGCGUUGCGCAGCCUCUACUUAAAAGACCCUGGCCAUAAUUUGAGGAUUUAUGUUAGGCUAGGUUCUAAGAGAAAUAUAUUUACUCAGGUUGGACAAUGUAAUGUCUCACACAUGUCGUGUUUUAUUUGACUCUGCCCUGACUUUUUAGGAGCGACUGCUUUGGACUCCAGUUUUGUGCGCAGUCUUUUUGCACACACCUCGGGGAGGGAGAAGGACAAACAACAUUCAGCCAAUGAAGCACAAAAUGCGUGACUUGCAACAAUCUCACUGGCUGUUCAACCACCAAUGUGGAGGAGCAUGAAGAGGCUACUAUUUCUACUGACCAUCACAGUGACCACAACUAUGAAAAGACCUGGCAUCGGAGAUGUCAGCACUGGAAAAUCUAAUCUUAUGGCCACCUAAGGAACAGCAGUGAGAUCACAACACAUGAUUGGUCCAGUGUAUCCCCAACACAUCACAUGAUUGGCACUAUGUAUUCACAUGUCAUCUUUUGGAUCUUUCAAACUGGAUUGUGGAUCCAAACAUUGUAAUGCUUUGUUUGACACUGUCUUGACAGGUCUUAAAUAAAAUAUGUUGAACCAUGA